AUUGAACGCUGGCGGCAUGCCUUACACAUGCAAGUCGAACGGCAGCACGGGUGCUUGCACCUGGUGGCGAGUGGCGAACGGGUGAGUAAUACAUCGGAACAUGUCCUGUAGUGGGGGAUAGCCCGGCGAAAGCCGGAUUAAUACCGCAUACGAUCUACGGAUGAAAGCGGGAGACCUUCGGGCCUCGCGCUAUAGGGUUGGCCGAUGGCUGAUUAGCUAGUUGGUGGGGUAAAGGCCUACCAAGGCGACGAUCAGUAGCUGGUCUGAGAGGACGACCAGCCACACUGGGACUGAGACACGGCCCAGACUCCUACGGGAGGCAGCAGUGGGGAAUUUUGGACAAUGGGCGAAAGCCUGAUCCAGCAAUGCCGCGUGUGUGAAGAAGGCCUUCGGGUUGUAAAGCACUUUUGUCCGGAAAGAAAUCCUUGGCCCUAAUACGGUCGGGGGAUGACGGUACCGGAAGAAUAAGCACCGGCUAACUACGUG
Molecule: ribosomal RNA, 486 nt
Filed under: uncultured bacterium
Lineage: Bacteria
Description: partial 16S ribosomal RNA
Rfam family: Bacterial small subunit ribosomal RNA
Source: RNAcentral